AACGGGGGGGGCGAAGCGUUAUUCAUAAUGAUUGGGCGUAAAGGGUGCGUAGGCGGAACAUCAUGCUCCAAGGAAAGGUUAGAGCUCAGCUUUAGCAAUGUUGGAGGUCUUUUGUUCUAUAGGAUUUUUGGGAGGAUGGCGGUACUUUUUAGUGUAGAGGUGAAAUUCUUUUGAUACUGUAGAGGACCAACAAUAGGUGUAAACAGCUAUCCAGCAUAAAUUGACGCUGAGGCACGAAGAGCGUGGGGAGCAAACGGGG
This 259-nucleotide ribosomal RNA is filed under the name uncultured bacterium. Its description in RNAcentral is "partial 16S ribosomal RNA". It matches the Rfam family "Bacterial small subunit ribosomal RNA", at positions 524 to 777 of the family's 1533-position model. The record is from RNAcentral.